This is a ribosomal RNA of Cricetulus griseus (Chinese hamster), 134 nucleotides long. Lineage: Eukaryota; Metazoa; Chordata; Mammalia; Rodentia; Cricetidae. The record is from Ensembl.
GUCUACGGCCAUGUCACCCUGCAUGCGCCCAUCUCCUCUGAUCUUGGAAGCUAAGCAGGGAUGGGCCUGAUUAGCGCUUGCAUGAGAGAUGCACCUUUUAUGAGUUACCUCCCUGAAAGAUGGCUUUGUUGUCA